This 1056-nucleotide ribosomal RNA is filed under the name uncultured bacterium. RNAcentral's name for it is "bacterial SSU rRNA". It matches the Rfam family "Bacterial small subunit ribosomal RNA", at positions 336 to 1393 of the family's 1533-position model. The record is from RNAcentral.
CUCCUACUGGAGGCAGCAGUGAGGAAUAUUGGUCAAUGGACGAGAGUCUGAACCAGCCAAGUAGCGUGAAGGAUGAAGGUUCUAUGGAUUGUAAACUUCUUUUAUACGGGAAUAAACGAAUCCACGUGUGGAUUUUUGCAUGUACCGUAUGAAUAAGGAUCGGCUAACUCCGUGCCAGCAGCCGCGGUAAUACGGAGGAUCCGAGCGUUAUCCGGAUUUAUUGGGUUUAAAGGGAGCGUAGAUGGGUUGUUAAGUCAGUUGUGAAAGUUUGCGGCUCAACCGUAAAAUUGCAAUUGAUACUGGCAGUCUUGAGUACAGUUGAGGUAGGCGGAAUUCGUGGUGUAGCGGUGAAAUGCUUAGAUAUCACGAAGAACUCCGAUUGCGAAGGCAGCUUACUAACCUGUAACUGACAUUGAUGCUCGAAAGUGUGGGUAUCAAACAGGAUUAGAUACCCUGGUAGUCCACACGGUAAACGAUGAAUACUCGCUGUAGGCGAUAUACAGUCUGCGGCCAAGCGAAAGCAUUAAGUAUUCCACCUGGGGAGUACGCCGGCAACGGUGAAACUCAAAGGAAUUGACGGGGGCCCGCACAAGCGGAGGAACAUGUGGUUUAAUUCGAUGAUACGCGAGGAACCUUACCCGGGCUUAAAUUGCAACCGAAUAUGGCGGAAACGCUAUAGCUAGCAAUAGCGGUUGUGAAGGUGCUGCAUGGUUGUCGUCAGCUCGUGCCGUGAGGUGUCGGCUUAAGUGCCAUAACGAGCGCAACCCUUGCCGAUAGUUACUAACAGGUCAUGCUGAGGACUCUGUCGGGACUGCCAUCGUAAGAUGUGAGGAAGGUGGGGAUGACGUCAAAUCAGCACGGCCCUUACGUCCGGGGCUACACACGUGUUACAAUGGGGGGUACAGAGGGCUGCUACCACGCAAGUGGAUGCCAAUCCCAAAAACCUCUCUCAGUUCGGAUUGAAGUCUGCAACCCGACCUCAUGAAGCUGGAUUCGCUAGUAAUCGCGCAUCAGCCACGGCGCGGUGAAUACGUUCCCGGGCCUUGUACACACCGA